Molecule: long non-coding RNA, 245 nt
Organism: Austrofundulus limnaeus
Lineage: Eukaryota; Metazoa; Chordata; Actinopteri; Cyprinodontiformes; Rivulidae
Exons: 2
Source: RefSeq, a predicted model, not a curated record
AACCAGGAUUCUGCCCAAAAUACCCUGCGAUGCUUGGAAGUCAUUGUCGCGGUGACAAUGGAUGCCCCGGAAAUGAAAAAUGCUGUUACUUUCGUAAUACAUGGUACUGUGUUUCUCCUACUGUCGAUUAGCACAAACUUUGUGGAAAACAUCUGUUCAUUCCUCACCGUCAUGAUGAUAAAGAUGGUGAAUGCAGCUGCAAGAAGAAGUGCUCUCUAAACAGAUGUGAAAACACCUGUAAACAA